GAUGAAGAACGUAGCGAAAUGCGAUAAGUAAUGUGAAUUGCAGAAUUCAGUGAAUCAUCGAAUCUUUGAACGCACAUUGCGCCCGCCAGUAUUCUGGCGGGCAUGCCUGUUCGAGCGUCAUUACAACCCUCAGGCCCCCGGGCCUGGCGUUGGGGAUCGGCGGAAGCCCCCUGCGGGCACAACGCCGUCCCCCAAAUACAGUGGCGGUCCCGCCGCAGCUUCCAUUGCGUAGUAGCUAACACCUCGCAACUGGAGAGCGGCGCGGCCACGCCGUAAAACACCCAAUUUUAUUAGAGUUGACCUCGAAUCAGGUAGGAAUACCCGCUGAACUUAAGCAUAUCAAUAAGCGGAGGA
This 354-nucleotide unclassified non-coding RNA is filed under the name soil metagenome. Its description in RNAcentral is "partial contains 5.8S ribosomal RNA, internal transcribed spacer 2, and large subunit ribosomal RNA". The stretch from base 1 to 120 matches the Rfam family "5.8S ribosomal RNA", at positions 35 to 154 of the family's 154-position model. The record is from RNAcentral.